This is a long non-coding RNA of Chelmon rostratus (copperband butterflyfish), 420 nucleotides long. RefSeq lists it as uncharacterized. The record is from RefSeq and is a predicted model, not a curated record. The transcript is spliced from 2 exons. NCBI's taxonomy places the organism in Eukaryota, Metazoa, Chordata, Actinopteri, Chaetodontiformes, Chaetodontidae.
UGAGGUUGCUGCAGUCCUCCCUGCACAGCCUGAGCGACAAAAUGAAAAUCCAGGUCAAAGUCAUUGGACCCACUGGAGACGUAAAGAUCAUUGACCUGUGCUCCAGUGAAGAAGAGAUGGGGAAGAUCACAGUAGAGCAAUUAAAAAAGAAAAUUAUUCAAGAAUUCAUGAUAAAUACUGGGAUCAGGGUGGCGUAUGGAGGGGAAGUACUGGAGGACUCGAGGACAUUGUCAUCCUGUCAGAUCCAACACAUGUCCGUCAUUCAUGUAAUAAUGCUGUUGCCGUGUGAUCUCUGAUCUGACGGAGGCCGGAGAAAAGACCCUCAAUGAUGUGCUAUUUUUUCCACCUUGGACAUUAUUAAUGACUUGAAUGUAAAAGUGAAAUCUCUUCUGCCUGCAUUAAAAUGAAAAUCAAACAUCA